This 238-nucleotide ribosomal RNA is filed under the name uncultured prokaryote. RNAcentral's name for it is "partial 16S ribosomal RNA". It matches the Rfam family "Bacterial small subunit ribosomal RNA", at positions 524 to 761 of the family's 1533-position model. The record is from RNAcentral.
UACAGAGGGUGCAAGCGUUGUUCGGAAUUAUUGGGCGUAAAGGGCGCGUAGGCGGUUUGACAAGUCUGAUGUGAAAUCUCUGGGCUCAACCCAGAGUCUGCAUUAGAAACUGUCGGGCUUGAGUAUGGGAGAGGUGAGUGGAAUUUCCGGUGUAGCGGUGAAAUGCGUAGAUAUCGGGAGGAACACCAGUGGCGAAGGCGAUCACCUGGGGUUGUUCUGACGCUGAGGAGCGAAAGCU